AGAGCCCGGAGAUGGAUUCUGAGACACGAAUCCAGGCCCUACGGGGUGCAGCAGGCGCGAAAACUUUACAAUGCUGGCAACAGCGAUAAGGGAACCUCGAGUGCCAGGUUACAAAUCUGGCUGUCGAGAUGCCUAAAAAGCAUUUCAUAGCAAGGGCCGGGCAAGACCGGUGCCAGCCGCCGCGGUAACACCGGCGGCUCGAGUGGUAACCGUUAUUAUUGGGUCUAAAGGGUCUGUAGCCGGCCGGAUAAGUCUCUUGAGAAAUCUGGCAGCUUAACUGUCAGGCUUUCAGGAGAUACUGUCUGGCUCGAGGCCGGGAGAGGUGAGAGGUACUUCAGGGGUAGGGGUGAAAUCUUGUAAUCCUUGAAGGACCACCAGUGGCGAAGGCGUCUCACCAGAACGGACCUGACGGCAAGGGACGAAAGCUAGGGGCACGAACCGGAUUAGAUACCCGGGUAGUCCUAGCCGUAAACGAUACUCGCUAGGUGUCGGCCACGGUGCGACCGUUGUCGGUGCCGUAGGGAAGCCGUGAAGCGAGC
Molecule: ribosomal RNA, 539 nt
Filed under: uncultured archaeon
Lineage: Archaea
Description: bacterial SSU rRNA
Rfam family: Archaeal small subunit ribosomal RNA
Source: RNAcentral